AUACGGAGGGUGCAAGCGUUGUUCGGAAUUACUGGGCGUAAAGCGCGCGUAGGUGGUCUGUUAUGUCAGAUGUGAAGGUCCACGGCUCAACCGUGGAAGUGCAUUUGAAACUGGCAGACUUGAGUACUGGAGGGGGUAGUGGAAUUCCCGGUGUAGAGGUGAAAUUCGUAGAUAUCGGGAGGAAUACCGGUGGCGAAGGCGACUACCUGGCCAGAUACUGACACUGAGGUGCGAAAGCGUGGGGAGCGAACAGGAUUAGAAACCCCGGUAGUCC
Molecule: ribosomal RNA, 274 nt
Filed under: uncultured bacterium
Lineage: Bacteria
Description: partial 16S ribosomal RNA
Rfam family: Bacterial small subunit ribosomal RNA
Source: RNAcentral